CCCCGUACGGGAGUACGGACCGGCAAGGCUAAAACGUCAAACGGAAUUAGACGGGACCGCGACAAGACGGUGGAGCAUGUGGUUUAAUUCGGUAAGCAAACGCGAAGAACCUUACCAAAUCCUUAGACAUCCUCUGACAACUGUAGAGAUACAGCUUCCCUUCGGGGCAGAGUGACAGGUGGUGCAUGGUUGUCGUCAGCUCGUGUCGUGAGAUGUUGGGUUAAGUCCCGCAACGAGCGCAACCCUUAAGUUUAGUUGCCAUCAUUAAGUUGGGCACUCUAGACUGACUGCCGGUGACAAACCGGAGGAAGGUGGGGACGACGUCAAAUCAUCAUGCCCCUUAUGAUUUGGGCUACACACGUGCUACAAUGGACAGGUUACAAAGGGCAGCAACGCCGCGAGGCCAAGCGAAUCCCAUAAAACUGUUCUCAGUUCGGAUUGGAGUCUGCAACUCGACUCCAUGAAGCUGGAAUCGCUAGUAAUCGUAGAUCAGCAUGCUACGGUGAAUACGUUCCCGGGUCUUGUACAC
Molecule: ribosomal RNA, 529 nt
Filed under: uncultured bacterium
Lineage: Bacteria
Description: bacterial SSU rRNA
Rfam family: Bacterial small subunit ribosomal RNA
Source: RNAcentral